AGCUAUGAUAAAAUCUAUUUUUGUUAUAUUAACAAAGUUACCCUCACUUUUUUUAUUAAAUUCCAAAAAUAUCCUUAAUAAACAUUAUACAUUAAUUUUUGUUGCCUUAUUAGAAUUCCUCCAUUAUUUUAAAUGCAACUCCAUUUUUUUUUGUUUAUGUGAUUUAAUUAUUUUUUAAUGCGUUUUAUUUUGUUCAUUUUUUU
Molecule: long non-coding RNA, 203 nt
Filed under: Lathyrus oleraceus (garden pea)
Lineage: Eukaryota; Viridiplantae; Streptophyta; Magnoliopsida; Fabales; Fabaceae
Description: Pisum sativum (pea) long non-coding RNA (PSAT_LNC004403)
Source: RNAcentral